GUUUUUUUUCAUGACGACCUAUAAAAAACGACAGUGUUACCCCUUAUGUUUUUUUUCAUGACGACCAAUAAAUAACAACAGUGUUACCCCUUAUGUUUUUUUUCAUGACGACCAAUAAAAAACGACAGUGUUACCCCUUAUGUUUUUUUUCAUGACGACCAAUAAAAAACAACAGUGUUACCCCGUAUGUUUUUUUUCAUGACGACCAAAGAAAAACAACAGUGUUACCCCUUAUGUUUUUUUUCAUGACCACCAAUAAAAAACAACAGUGUUACCCCUUAUGUUUUUUUUCAUGACGACCAACAAAAAACAACAGUGUUACCCCUUAUGUUUUUUUUCAUGACCACCAAUAAAAAACAACAGUGUUACCCCUUAUGUUUUUUUUCAUGACGACCAAUAAAAAACCACAUUACCCCUUAUGGUUUUUUUCAUGACGACCUAUAAAAAACGACAGUGUUACCCCUUAUGUUUUUUUUCAUGACGACCAAUAAAAAACGACAGUGUUACCCCUUAUGUUUUUUUUCAUGACGACCAAUAAAAAACAACAGUGUUAUCCCGUAUGUUUUUUUUCAUGACGACCAAAGAAAAACAACAGUGUUACCCCUUAUGUUUUUUUUCAUGACCACCAAUAAAAAACAACAGUGUUACCCCUUAUGUUUUUUUUCAUGACGACCAACAAAAAACAACAGUGUUACCCCUUAUGUUUUUUUUCAUGACCACCAAUAAAAAACAACAGUGUUACCCCUUAUGUUUUUUUUCAUGACGACCAAUAAAAAACCACAUUACCCCUUAUGGUUUUUUUCAUGACGACCUAUAAAAAACGACAGUGUUACCCCUUAUGUUUUUUUUCAUGACGACCAAUAAAUAACAACAGUGUUACCCCUUAUGUUUUUUUUCAUGACGACCAAUAAAAAACAACAGUGUUACCCCGUAAGUUUUUUUUCAUGACGACCAAAGAAAAACAACAGUGUUACCCCUUAUGUUUUUUUUCAUGACGACCAAUAAAAAACAACAGUGUUACCCCUUAUGUUUUUUUUCAUGAGGAUCAAUAAAAAACAACAGUAUUACCCCUUAUGUUUUUUUUCAUGACGACCAAUAAAAAACGACAGUGUUACCCCUUGUGUUUUUUUUCAUGACGACCAAUAAAAAACAACAGUGUUACCCCUUAUGUUUUCUUUCAUGACGACCAAUAAAAAACAA
Molecule: long non-coding RNA, 1200 nt
Organism: Gadus macrocephalus (Pacific cod)
Lineage: Eukaryota; Metazoa; Chordata; Actinopteri; Gadiformes; Gadidae
Exons: 3
Source: RefSeq, a predicted model, not a curated record